GCCCUGGUGGUGUGACGGUUAAAUUUUCAGCUGCUAACUGAAAGGUUGGUGGUUCGAACCUGCCUCGUGGCU
RNAcentral lists this transfer RNA (72 nucleotides) under Loxodonta africana (African savanna elephant). It matches the Rfam family "tRNA". From Rfam's summary of the family: Transfer RNA (tRNA) molecules are approximately 80 nucleotides in length. Their secondary structure includes four short double-helical elements and three loops (D, anti-codon, and T loops). Further hydrogen bonds mediate the characteristic L-shaped molecular structure. tRNAs have two regions of fundamental functional importance: the anti-codon, which is responsible for specific mRNA codon recognition, and the 3' end, to which the tRNAs corresponding amino acid is attached (by aminoacyl-tRNA synthetases). tRNAs cope with the degeneracy of the genetic code in two manners: having more than one tRNA (with a specific anti-codon) for a particular amino acid; and 'wobble' base-pairing, i.e. permitting non-standard base-pairing at the 3rd anti-codon position. Lineage: Eukaryota; Metazoa; Chordata; Mammalia; Proboscidea; Elephantidae. The record is from Rfam by way of RNAcentral.